This 468-nucleotide ribosomal RNA is filed under the name uncultured bacterium. RNAcentral describes it as "partial 16S ribosomal RNA". It matches the Rfam family "Bacterial small subunit ribosomal RNA", at positions 28 to 507 of the family's 1533-position model. The record is from RNAcentral.
GAUGAACGCUGGCGGCGUGCUUAACACAUGCAAGUCGAACGGAAAGGCCCUGCUUUUGUGGGGUGCUCGUGUGGCGAACGGGUGAGUAACACGUGAGUAACAUGCCCUUGACUUUGGGAUAACUUCAGGGAACACGGGCGCAUACCGGAUAGGAGCUCCUGCUGCAUGGUGGGGGUUGGAAAGAUUCGGCGGUUGUGGCUGGUCUCGCUGCUUAUCAGCUGCUUGGUGGGGUAGUGGCUGACAAAGGGUUUGACGGAUAGCCGGCCUGAGAGGGUGACCGGCCACAAUGGGACUGAGAUACGGCCCAGACGGCUACGGGACGCAGCAGUGGAGAAUAUUGCACAAUGGGCGGAAGCCUGAUGCAGCAACGCUGCGUGCGGGAUGACGGCCUUCGGGUUAUAAACCGAUUUCGCCGGUGACGAAGCGUGAGUGACGGUAAUGGGUAAAGAAGCACCGGCUAACUACGUG